UUUCCGUAGGUGAACCUGCGGAAGGAUCAUUACCACACCUAAAAAACUUUCCACGUGAACCGUAUCAAAACCCUUUUAUUGGGGGCUUCUGUCUGGUCUGGCUUCGGCUGGAUUGGGUGGCGGCUCUAUCAUGGCGACCGCUCUGAGCUUCGGCCUGGAGCUAGUAGCCCACUUUUUAAACCCAUUCUUAAUUACUGAACAAACUGUGGGGACGAAAGUCUCUGCUUUUAACUAGAUAGCAACUUUCAGCAGUGGAUGUCUAGGCUCGCACAUCGAUGAAGAACGCUGCGAACUGCGAUACGUAAUGCGAAUUGCAGGAUUCAGUGAGUCAUCGAAAUUUUGAACGCAUAUUGCACUUCCGGGUUAGUCCUGGGAGUAUGCCUGUAUCAGUGUCCGUACAUCAAACUUGGCUCCCUUCCUUCCGUGUAGUCGGUGGAUGGGGAUGCACAGACGUGAAGUGUCUUGCGACUGGGCUUCGGCUCGGCUGCGAGUCCUUUUAAAUGUACAGAACUGUACUUCUCUUUGCUCGAAAAGCGUUAUAUUACUGGUUGUGGAGGCUGCCUGUGCGGCAAGUCGGCGACCGGUUUGUUAACUGCGGCGUUUAAUGGAGGAGUGUUCGAUUCGCGGUAUGGAUGGCUUCGGCUGAACUGACGCUUAUUGAGUACUUUUCCUGCUGUGGUGGUACGAACUGGUGAACCGUAGCUGUGUUUGGCUUGGCUUUUGAACUGGCGAUGUGGUGCGAAGUAGAGUGACGGUUGUUCCGGCGCAAGCUGGAGUGACUGUCGAGGGUCGAUCCAUUUGGGAAAUUUUGUGUCUGUGCGACUUCGGUUGCGUGGGCAUCUCAAUUGGACCUGAUAUCAGGCAAGAUUACCCGCUGAACUUAA
This 884-nucleotide ribosomal RNA is filed under the name Phytophthora syringae. Its description in RNAcentral is "eukaryotic LSU rRNA". The stretch from base 241 to 395 matches the Rfam family "5.8S ribosomal RNA". The record is from RNAcentral. Lineage: Eukaryota; Oomycota; Peronosporomycetes; Peronosporales; Peronosporaceae.